Non-coding RNA from Bacillus sp. HMSC76G11, 102 nucleotides. NCBI's taxonomy places the organism in Bacteria, Bacillati, Bacillota, Bacilli, Caryophanales, Bacillaceae. The record is from Rfam.
AAAUUAAUAGUACUUAUCCUUCAUAUAUCCUCGAUAAUAUGGUUCGAGAGUCUCUACCGGAUUGCCGCAAAUAAUCUGACUAUGAAGGCAGAAUAGACGAGU